This 253-nucleotide ribosomal RNA is filed under the name uncultured bacterium. RNAcentral's name for it is "partial 16S ribosomal RNA". It matches the Rfam family "Bacterial small subunit ribosomal RNA", at positions 524 to 776 of the family's 1533-position model. The record is from RNAcentral.
UACGGGAGUGGCAAGCGUUAUCCGGAAUUAUUGGGCGUAAAGAGUAUGUAGGCGGCUAUUUAAGUCAGACGUGUAAGCCCACGGCUCAACCGUGGAAUUGCGUUUGAAACUAUUUAGCUUGAGUUCAGGAGAGGAAGGCGGAAUUCCCAGUGUAGCGGUGAAAUGCAUUGAUAUUGGGAAGAACACCGGUGGCGAAGGCGGCCUUCUGGUCUGAUACUGACGCUGAGAUACGAAAGCCAGGGGAGCGAACGGG